UAGAUAAGGAGUGAUUAGUUUCCGUAGUCAGUCCAUCCUCAUAUGCAUGAUAAAUAUAUGUAACAUUGAACAUCUUUUUAAAUAAAAUCCUGGUACCUUUAUUUGGCUUGUUUUCACAUACCAAUUUCAUAUCUAUAUAAAAGAUCUUCAUAUGAGAACACAUUAAAACCUUCCCGAACGUUGAUUCUGAAAUUUGCUUUAAGUUUACCUCUUCAGCUUUUGAAAGUAUCCUAGUUAACAAAAAUUCCCCAAGAUGACAAAGACAAAUGGAAAGUUACAUUUUUGUACAGCUAAGACAUGCGAAUCUGGAAAAUUACGAUUUUCAGGAAAACCUACGGAUGACAGCACAUACUAGACAGUUUAUACAUUUGUAAUAGAACCGUAGUAUUCUUUAUAAUAUCUCAUCUUUGUAGUAACACAACUUUUAACAUUAAUUUUACCCAACUGAAA
This 450-nucleotide long non-coding RNA is filed under the name Mytilus galloprovincialis (Mediterranean mussel). Lineage: Eukaryota; Metazoa; Mollusca; Bivalvia; Mytilida; Mytilidae. The record is from RNAcentral.